UAACAGAGUGGAUCAGUCAGGAGACUGACAGAAAGACUUCCAAUCUUCAUUUAGAGACUGCCAGUGACACUGAGUCCACCACAUCCUUAGAUCAUUCAUAAAGACUAUUGAAUAGCACUGGGCAUAACUGAAUAGCAUUGAGUGGGAUUCGACUUGAAACAACCCCAUAGGACGAUGAUUCCCCAUUUACAGUCACUUUUGGAGAUCUAACAAUUGGUCAGUUUUUAAUCCCUGGAUUCAGGAGGGCUCCUCCAGGACUUGGAUCCACCAGGUUUAGCAAUGCUUUGCAUUGCUAAUCAGAGUGCAGGCCAGGACCAGGACUACUAUAUUUAAAUGUCUGACAUAUAUUUCAACACUUUAUGCUCAAUGGCUGUUUAUUUCAUGUGACUUGGCAUGUCACUGUAAUUUUG
Molecule: long non-coding RNA, 410 nt
Organism: Chelonia mydas (Green sea turtle)
Lineage: Eukaryota; Metazoa; Chordata; Testudines; Cheloniidae
Exons: 3
Source: RefSeq, a predicted model, not a curated record